This 362-nucleotide long non-coding RNA is filed under the name Homo sapiens (human). Its description in RNAcentral is "HSALNT0105537". The record is from RNAcentral. Lineage: Eukaryota; Metazoa; Chordata; Mammalia; Primates; Hominidae.
UAGUAAUUCCUGGAUUUCCUUUAAAGAUAUAAGAAAUACUGGGGAGGGGACAAGAUGGACAACUAGAAAUAGCUGCAAUCAGAGGCUUCCAACAAGAAGAACGAAAACGAAUGAAGCCCUUUCUUAAAAGCCUAGUUGACUAGGGAUAUCAAGUGGACACAGCUGACAGAACUUUGUACUAGAAAGGAGGGAGGAUACAGAAUGUCUCUUCAGGUACAGUACUAACUUAUUUCAAAUACCAUAGAUCUUGAAAUGAAUAAGCCACUUUGAAAAUUCUGUUACCAACGCUUAACACUCUGCAGCUUAAGGAAGAGAGAAAGUUUUAUAGCCCUGUUAUGCAUCAAAUACCGUUUUUCUACCAG